GACGAACGCUGGCGGCGUGCUUAACACAUGCAAGUCGAACGGAAAGGCCCUGCUUUUGUGGGGUGCUCGAGUGGCGAACGGGUGAGUAACCCGUUAGUAACCUUCCCUUUACUUUUGGAUAACUUCAGGAAACUGGGGCUAAUACCGGAUAGGAGCUUCUGCUGCAUGGUGGGGGUUGUAAAGUUUCGGCGGUUGGGGAUGGACUCGCGGCUUAUCAGCUUGUUGGUGGGGUAGUGGCUUACCAAGGCUUAGACGGGUAGCCGGCCUGAGAGGGUGACCGGCCACAUUGGGACUGAGAGACGGACCAGAAUGCAACGGGAGGCAGCAGUGGGGAAUAUUGCACAAUGGGCGGAAGCCUGAUGCAGAAACGCCGCGUGCGGGAUGACGGCCUACGGGUUGUAAACAGCUUUCGCCUGUGACGAAGCGUGAGUGACGGUAAUGGGUAAAGAAGCACCGGCUAACUACGUG
RNAcentral lists this ribosomal RNA (468 nucleotides) under uncultured bacterium. RNAcentral's name for it is "partial 16S ribosomal RNA". It matches the Rfam family "Bacterial small subunit ribosomal RNA", at positions 28 to 507 of the family's 1533-position model. The record is from RNAcentral.